GUAGGUAGGUGGUAGGUGGGUGGGUAAGUGAGUGGGUGGGUAGGUCGGUAGGUUGGUAGGUAGGUGGUAGGUGGGUGGGUAAGUGAGUGGGUGGGUAGGUCGGUAGGUUGGUAGGUAGGUGGUAGGUGGGUGGGUAAGUGAGUGGGUGGGUAGGUCGGUAGGUUGGUAGGUAGGUGGUAGGUAGGCGGGUAAGUGAGUGGGUGGGUAAGUGAGUGGGUGGGUAGGUUGGUCGGUAGUGUGCUUACAUGACUUUCUUUACUGUGUUUCUUGUCCCUCAGCCUCGCCUGUUACAACACCUUUUGGCCAAGCACACAAGGUAACUAAUGCAACAUUGUUUUGUAUAUAUCUUUUAAUCCAUCUGUAUUGUUAACCGAUUUAUUCUUCAUCUGUGUUUUGGCAACGUGGACGGCCCGCUGAGGGUGUGUGUCUGGGGUGUGUCCGCACUGACGGCCACACUCCCUGCAUCAGGUAUACUCGUGGGAGGUCGUUGAAGGCAAACACGUGCAUGGUCUGUGUCUGUAAUGUUUAUAGCGGCAGGCUACACACUAUAGGUCUGGGGUGUGUCCGCGCUGACGGCCACACUCCCUGCAUCAGGUAUACUCGUGGUAGGUCGCUGAAGGCAAAUACGUGCUUGGUCUGUGUCAGUAAUGUUUAUAGCGGCAGGCUACACACUAGUCCUUGCGGCGCGCACACUCGCUGGCGUAGAGGUUGUUGAUCUGGUUGGCGUCGGUCUGCCUCAUCUCGAA
Molecule: long non-coding RNA, 746 nt
Organism: Eriocheir sinensis (Chinese mitten crab)
Lineage: Eukaryota; Metazoa; Arthropoda; Malacostraca; Decapoda; Varunidae
Exons: 4
Source: RefSeq, a predicted model, not a curated record